Molecule: transfer RNA, 74 nt
Filed under: Bifidobacterium longum subsp. infantis ATCC 15697 = JCM 1222 = DSM 20088
Lineage: Bacteria; Bacillati; Actinomycetota; Actinomycetes; Bifidobacteriales; Bifidobacteriaceae
Description: tRNA-Trp
Rfam family: tRNA
About the family: Transfer RNA (tRNA) molecules are approximately 80 nucleotides in length. Their secondary structure includes four short double-helical elements and three loops (D, anti-codon, and T loops).
Source: RNAcentral
GCGCCAUCGGGACAGCGGCAGCCCGACGGUCUCCAAAACCGUAGACGGAGGUUCGACUCCUCCAUGGCGCGCGA